CUCAGUUUGAACCAGUUUGCAAAAACCCUAAUUUCAGAGUUCGCUACGGUAUAGGGUUCCGUCAAAGCUAACCAGUACACUGGCGGAACACCGAGCCAUCGGCCAACCGGCAGAGAGCAUCAUCGCAAAUGGACUUCGACGAGUACGAUUAUCUGGAGAAGACUGUGGAAGAGACCAACGGUACUUCUACGAAGAGCAAAGACAAAGACAAUAACAGCAGCGCCGAGAAGGAGAAGAGCGAGAAAGGCUAUCGUCGAAGGGAGAGAGAUGGAAGUGAGGAAUACGCCGACGACGACAAUAGAGAGCGCCGGAGCAGCAAAAAGUCUCGCGGGGACGGCGAAAGCAUCAGAGAGAAGGAUAAGGAGAGAGAUAGGGAAAGGUCAUCGAGGCAUCGGAGUAGGGAACGGGAAUCUGAGAGGGACAAAGAAAGAAGCUCAAAAGACCGUGACCGUGACAGAGAGAAAAGGGAAAAGGAGAAAGAGAAAGAGAGGGAUAGAGACAGGGAGAAGGAGAAGGAACGUGAUAGAGAUAGGAAGAGUAGAGAUCGGGAUAGAGAUAAGGAGCGAGAUAAGGAGAAAGAUAGGGAGAGGGAGAGGUCAAGGAGGAGCCGUAGUCGCUCGAGAAUCGAGCGAGAGCGAGAGAAAGAGAUGUUGAGAGACAGCGAGCGUGACUUUGAAUCACGGGACAGCAGGAGAUUCAAGGAGAAGAAAGAAAAAAUAGAACCAGAAGCUGAUCCAGAAAGGGACCAGAGAACUGUUUUUGCUUACCAGAUGCCCUUGAAGGCGACUGAAAGGGAUGUGUAUGAGUUUUUCUCACAAGCAGGAAAGGUGAGGGAUGUGCGGUUAAUCAUGGACCGGAAUUCAAGGCGAUCUAAAGGAGUUGGGUACAUUGAGUUUUAUGAUGCUAUGUCCGUGCCAAUGGCUAUUGCUUUAUCUGGUCGCUUGCUCUUUGGCCAACCAGUAAUGGUAAAACCUUCUGAAGCUGAAAAGAACCUUGUUCAGUCAACUGCGUCUGGUGGUGGAUCAGGGUUGGCGGGGCCAAAUGCUGCCUCAGAAAGAAAACUUUAUGUUGGAAAUCUUCACUUUAACAUGACAGAAUUGCAGCUUAGACAGAUUUUUGAAGCUUUUGGGCCAGUGGAGCUUGUUCAAUUACCUACAGAUCCUGAAACAGGACAUUGCAAAGGAUUUGGGUUUGUCCAAUUUGCUCAACUUGAACAUGCUAAGGCGGCUCAAAGUUUGAAUGGUAAGCUUGAGAUUGCGGGUCGGACCAUCAAGGUUUCAUCCGUUACUGAACAUGUUGGAGUACAAGAUGCUGGAGCUAAAACUGCAGACUUUGAUGAUGAUGAAGGGGGUGGCCUGGCAUUGAAUGCUCAGUCAAGGGCCAUGCUUAUGGCAAAAUUGGACCGCAGUGGUGUUGCUUCAGGUGUUGCGGGUACACUAGGAGUUCCUGCACUUAAUGGUGCAGCUCAGCCAGCAAUGAGCAUGCCAAUGGGUGGAGCAACAGCUUUUCAGAAUAUGCUCCCAACACAACUCAUUGCUUCCAUGGCUCCCGAACCCAUUGGGAUACCCAGCGAGUGUUUGUUAUUAAAAAACAUGCAGGGGGGUCACCAGAAAAGAUCGAGGCAGGAUGACAAUAAUCAUGGAACAACUGAGAUUAGCUUGAUGGAAGAAGAGGGAAUGUAAACCAGUGACCGAUAGCUUCCAAUUCAAAGAGUUCUGAAUCUAUGGGUUAUGGCUUGUGAUACUCAAUUGUGUGAACAUUUUAUUUUACCAUUGCAGAAAACAUGAGAAGUUUUGAGGAAGCAUGAUGUCCUGGAAGAUCGUGAUCCCAACAUAGAUUGACCCGAUGAUCAAGAAAGAUCUGUUAGACUGAAUUAAUUGCAGUUUGUAUGACAAAAACGCCUAUUUUUGCUUCUUUUGCAGGUCCUUCAUGGAACAUAACCAGAAAGUGAAGUAGCAUUAGUUGAAAGGUUGAGUGUCAAGUUUGUGCCAUCUUGGAUGAACUCUGCUGAGUUUCUUGUGAACUACUUUUUGAGCUCAUGUAUGGUGAACUUUUACCUCUGUCAGUAGGUAGUAAUUUCUUAAUUGUAUGUCUAUUUGAGGAUUUUAAUUACCCCUUGUCCUUCUAGUAAUCUCAAUAUUGUGAAGGAAGGUAUAUAUAUCAACUAUCCUUUCUUGUGAGGGAAUUGUGCCUUCCACUGAAGAAUUUGAAUGUCCUUGAGCAUUAUGUUCUCAUAUCCUGUACUCAUUAACUGAUGUGAACUAAUGAUAGGGUAGUUUCAUAAAGCUUUCUAAUUAAGUAGCUUAGUC
This 2309-nucleotide unclassified non-coding RNA is filed under the name Hevea brasiliensis (rubber tree). The record is from RNAcentral. Lineage: Eukaryota; Viridiplantae; Streptophyta; Magnoliopsida; Malpighiales; Euphorbiaceae.